RNAcentral lists this ribosomal RNA (502 nucleotides) under uncultured Glomeromycotina. RNAcentral's name for it is "partial small subunit ribosomal RNA". It matches the Rfam family "Eukaryotic small subunit ribosomal RNA", at positions 591 to 1092 of the family's 1831-position model. The record is from RNAcentral. Lineage: Eukaryota; Fungi; Glomeromycota.
CCAAUAGCGUAUAUUAAAGUUGUUGCAGUUAAAAAGCUCGUAGUUGAACUUCGGGGUUUACCCAUUGGUCAGGCUUAAUUGUCUGUACUGGUGAGAUGAAUCUCUACCUUCUGAGGAACUUUCAUGCCAUUUAUUUGGUGUGAUGGGAAAUCAGGACUGUUACUUUGAAAAAAUUAGAGUGUUUAAAGCAGGCUAACGUCUGAAUACAUUAGCAUGGAAUAAUGAAAUAGGACGGAUUGAUUCUAUUUCGUUGGCUUCUAGGAUCACCGUAAUGAUUAAUAGGGAUAGUUGGGGGCAUUAGUAUUCAAUUGUCAGAGGUGAAAUUCUUGGAUUUAUUGAAGACUAACUACUGCGAAAGCAUUUGCCAAGGAUGUUUUCAUUAAUCAAGAACGAAAGUUAGGGGAUCGAAGACGAUCAGAUACCGUCGUAGUCUUAACCAUAAACUAUGCCGACUAGGGAUCGGACGAAGUUAAUUUUAUAAUGACGCGUUCGGCACCUUACG